Molecule: long non-coding RNA, 222 nt
Filed under: Elaeis guineensis (African oil palm)
Lineage: Eukaryota; Viridiplantae; Streptophyta; Magnoliopsida; Arecales; Arecaceae
Description: long non-coding RNA (EGUI_LNC008033)
Source: RNAcentral
GAGAAGAGAAAAAGGGAGGAAAAAAGGGCAUGGAAGGUUCUCUUGGGGUGGAGAGGGGCUGGCUUAGAUGAUCUUGGGACCUUAGGGGAAGUCCUCUUUUAUAGGCACAAAGAUUGAAUCCUAUUCAAUCAUAUAAUACAAGUCCUACUUGCAUUAGGAUUCCUAUUAACUUAAGUUAUCCAACUUACAUUAGGAAGCCCAUUAGGCGCCAACUAUUGGAGC